This is a non-coding RNA of Macaca mulatta (Rhesus monkey), 315 nucleotides long. The record is from RefSeq and is a predicted model, not a curated record. NCBI's taxonomy places the organism in Eukaryota, Metazoa, Chordata, Mammalia, Primates, Cercopithecidae.
UUUACGUGCUGUGUUUACUUUGGGGGAAAGAAAACCAGCAGCACCCUAUAAGAUCACCCUAUGAGGUGAACACUGAGGGUGCAAGUUCUUCUCCAGCCAGCAAACAAGGCAAACAUCUAGCACGUGGAAGGAGCAGUGUCACCCAGUAGGAACUAGGUACUGCGACAUUCAAGAACCGUAGGCAUCCAGCCCUAUACAAUUCACAAGGUGAACCUACCUGAAUCCUGAUCUGGAGUUCAGCAGGCUCCCUCUGACCUCCUCCUAGCCACUAUCACCCUACUUGGAAAUUUACAAAUUGGGGCCGGGCGCGGUGGC